RNAcentral lists this ribosomal RNA (332 nucleotides) under uncultured eukaryote. RNAcentral describes it as "partial 18S ribosomal RNA". It matches the Rfam family "Eukaryotic small subunit ribosomal RNA", at positions 1470 to 1796 of the family's 1831-position model. The record is from RNAcentral.
CCCUUAGAUGUCCUGGGCUGCACGCGCGCUACACUGGAAGUUACGGAUUGAGAUACUACCUUGUCCGAAAUGGUCCGGGUAAUCACCUAAAAGCUUGUCAUAAUUGGAAUGGAUUAUUGUAACUAGUAAUCCUGAACGAGGAAUUCCUAGUAAGUCCCAGUCAACAGCUGGUACUGAUUACGUCCCUGCCCUUUGUACACACCGCCCGUUGCUACUACUGAUUGGACGUUUAAGCAAGAUUUUUAAACACUGACAGUGUGUAGUUCACGCUAUACUACAGUGAGAAGAAGAAGAUCGAGCUUACUUGUCUAGAGGAAGUAAAAGUCGUAACA